RNAcentral lists this ribosomal RNA (207 nucleotides) under uncultured bacterium. RNAcentral's name for it is "partial 16S ribosomal RNA". It matches the Rfam family "Bacterial small subunit ribosomal RNA", at positions 568 to 774 of the family's 1533-position model. The record is from RNAcentral.
CAUGUAGGCGGAUUAAUAAGUUUGAAGUGAAAUCCUAUAGCUUAACUAUAGAACUGCUUUGAAAACUGUUAAUCUAGAAUGUGGGAGAGGUAGAUGGAAUUUCUGGUGUAGGGGUAAAAUCCGUAGAGAUCAGAAGGAAUACCGGUUGCGAAGGCGAUCUACUGGAACAUUAUUGACGCUGAGAUGCGAAAGCGUGGGGAGCAAACA